CUAGAGCACCUUUUUAACCCUUUGAAGCAUAACAUUGGUCAAAAGUGACUCAAAUCCAGUGGGAAGUUGCAUCUCCUGAUGCAGUCUUUACACCAAAGGGUUAAAGAUUAAAUCCGAUUUUCUGCUAAACAGAAGAAGUGGCUGUCAUCAGAUCCCAUUUCAGUUGUUCAGGCUGUUGUGGCUGUAAAUGGUGUAAGUUCUACAAAUUAUGAUCCAGAUCCCAACCUGCUGGUGGCGGUAAUGAGACACUGUUUGCCAACCACCGAAGAAGACGUUAGCUGUUAGCCGUUAGCCGGCGCAGCGUCACCAGGCAGCAGGGAGACGGUAGCCGUCUCUGAGGUGGGUUUGUCGGUGAGAUGCAACGGGUCAGUCCGGAGGCGGAGCUGCGGACUCUGGCGGAGUGCCGGUACAGCUUCCCGGCAGAGACGCUCUCAGACCUGCGGGAGGUUCGGGCUCGGUUCUCCGACCUGCGGCUCUACGUCGACUUUUACUGUUUUCCAAACAAAGAGAAGAAGAAGCUGGUUUAUCUGGCUGGAACACUUCCUGUUUACUACGAAGGAGCUGAGUAUAACAUCCCAGUGUGCAUCUGGCUCCAUGAGACCCACCCCGUGUCCCGUCCUCGCUGCUAUGUCUGUCCAUCCGUCGCCAUGGUGAUCAAUCCGUCCUGUCCCUACGUGGACGCCUCCGGAAACAUCAGCGUGGAUGCACUCAGCAAGUGGUCUCAGGGCAUGUCCAACCUGUCACGGCUCGUGUCAGAGAUAAGGCGGGCAUUCCAGAAGGACACGCCUCUCUUCUCCAGGCAGCAUGUUCAAGCCUCACCUCCUGCAGGUGUCCAGGUGUUCCAGUCAGCUGACAGCGUCCUCUCAUCCUCCUCAUCCCAACACCAUGUCUCUCCGUCCUCGUCUCAUCUGUCUGGACCUGCAGCCAGCCAAUUGGAGCUGUGCAGGACUGUAAGGGUGGGGCGUUCAUACACCGAGGACCUGCUGGGCAUCGACUUCAGCGCUCCUCCUCCAUCACCCUCCGACAACAACCCCUUCAUUAGCACCUCCCUUUCAGGUGCCCCCCUUGAAGAUCUUCUCACCAGGCAAAUGGGAGAUCUGAGGCUGGAUGGAGAGUCCAGCAGAGACCAGGCUGAGGCACCUGUCCACAUCAUCCAAUCAGAAACAGCCAGAGACAGACACACUGAUGAUUCUGGUCCAGGACCUGGACAGGGUCAGGACCUCUAUCCACUCAAACCUUCAUCCAGACCAGGAGCAGACCUUAUCAAGAUGGCGUCCCGGCUCCCUCCGGACCAGGCAGCGGUGUUUCUGUCUCUAAUGGCGAUGGAGGGGCGGAGCUUCAUCCCGACUGAUGUCAUAGAGGCAGUCCAGCUCAACAGAGACUUCCAGUCAGCUCUGAGGUUUCUGAGUCACAGCUGCCCCAUCUGCCAGGAACAGGUGUCCUUCAGCAAGAUCAUCAUGAUGACUCACUGCUCCUGCUUCCUGUGUCAGUCGUGUUUCAAGUUGUUUUUCUUGGCGGCCAUUAAAGAGCGCAGCGUGGAUCAGCUGGUUUGUCCUCAGUGUGGACAACCGGAGGUCCGAGGACCGGGAGGGCUGGAGGGGUCUAUGGACUACUUCAAUCUGCUGGACACACAGAUUCGUCACUUUCUGCCUCUUGAGAUCCAUGAGCUCUUCCAGAGGAAGCUCAGAGACCGAGCCCUGCAGGAGAUGCCCAACUUCUGCUGGUGUGCUCACUGUUCCUUUGGGAUGCUCCAUGAGGCUGACAGCUUGAGGAUGGACUGUCCCAGCUGUAAGAAGAGCACCUGCUCUAAAUGCAGAUCACCUUGGUUUCCUCAGCAUCAGAGUCUCUCCUGUGAGCAGUUCAGAGUUUGGAAACAGAAGAACCAACCAGAUCAUCACAGCAGUCCCCUGCUGUACAGCAGCAUUGAGUGUCCAAACUGCCAGCUGGUCUUCAGUCUGUCUAAAGGAGGAUGUCUUCACUUCAUCUGCAGUCAGUGUCAACAUCAGUUCUGCGGUGGAUGCAGUCAGCGCUUCUCUCUGGGAUCUGCCUGCGGUUUCUCUGUUGACUGUGGAAGUAAAGGUCUUCAUGCUCACCACCCCAGAGACUGCCUUUACCACCUGAGAGACUGGAGUAUCACCCGCCUUCACCUGUUGCUACAGCAUUACAGAGUGUCUCCCUCCUGGUUGGAAGCAGCCAAUGGUAGCCCACCUGACAUCGGUCUGGCAGCAGUGUGUUUGGUUUUGGAGCUGAGACACGACGGCAACAGACAGGAGGAGCCCUGUGGUCGACCUGCUCUACCUGAAUACAGAGGAUACUGCCACAGGUUGCACUAUAAGGAGCGUUUGGUGGAGUUGAUCAACCGUUGCCGUGCCGACCCUGCAGUCCUGCUCAGUCUGGCUGAGAUGACGGCGGAGCUGCAACGCUGGCAGGUUGCCGUGCCGACCAGGAAACCUGAUGAACCGGAGGAACUGUACGCACACCGACUCCGCCUGACAUGUUGAUGGCUGCAGAGAAACACAUGAUGACAGGAAACACCUUCACCUGGCAGCAGGUGUGUAGCCGCCCGCUGUUACCCGUGAACCGGAAUGCUCAGGACGUUCUUCAGGCUGCAGAAGAUUCUGUCCAUGGCUUCGGGGGCUCUGCUGGAUCCGAACUCUGUGGCCACGAUGGACUGCUGGAUGUCUGCGGAGAACAACAGCAGGUUCUUCAGGAGAACGCUUCUUGUUCUCAGAACAGCAUCUGAUCUCCAGACCUGUCUAAUCAUCUGAACUGUCUUCAAACAGAAACCUCCAGCGGUUGUCCGUUGCAGAACGCUCCCUUCCCCCUCCUGGCGGUGAACAUCUUGUCUUCCAGACAGCUGUAGACGACACCAAACUCUACCUGAAGGAGCAGGAAGGUGGAAGCAGCUCAGACUGGAGCAGGACCAGCAUAAUGAAUCCUAGAGUUAGAGAUUACAGGUAGGUCAACUGAGAACCAGUUCUCAUCUACAAUAACGACCUGGGCAAGAGUCAAUAUUAGCUCCAGUACUGCGUUAGCUGUUGUAAAUCCCUUUACGGUUCAGGUCAGAACCUGCUGCAACUAUGAAGUGUGCUGAGUUUCCAACAGAAUUCUCCAUGAAUUUAAAGUGUGCUGACUGAAUAUACCGUGAGGAGGUUGUCCAUCAUCACCUGGGAGUUCAUCAGCAGAGCUGGAACUGAAACAUUUUGAUUUCUACAUAUUUUCAUUUAAACACAGUGAAGUUCUAAGUUCUCUGUCGACUGUUCUGGAAGGAUCGUUGGUGCUGCAGUCAGAGAAACAGUUCAGGAACAUCUGAGAUUUUGAUGUGGACCUUUUGUGGUAUUAAUAGAAACAAAAUCUAGCGACUGUGGGACUGGGAUGAGGACGUUCUACAUGUUCCAGCUGAUGUUCUGCUGGGAGCUCACAGUAGAAUACUAAAUAGAACAUGGUUCACCUGAGAGCACUGAAGCAGUCGUCAUGCUUCCCACCUGCAUGGAGGAAAACGAGCCAUCAGGACAUCUGGACGACAGAAUCCAACAGAACCUGGGCUGACUGACCCAAACUGGAAAAUAAAUCUCUAAACGGAUAAAAACAGACUUUCAUAGAACCAGAACCACAUUUCUAUACAGUGCUGUGAAAAAAAGUACUGGUUUUAAAGUGCUGAUUUAAUUUAUUGGAGGUAAAAUUUUAUCCAGUCUGUCCCGUUCUAUGUGAAAAAGUAAUCACUCCCUGAGCUACCAAUCCACCAAAGGACCAGGUUCAGUCAUUAUUGGGUUCAGGUUAUCCAUCCGGACCUUCAGAUGGUUCCUGCCGGCUGGUUGGAUCUCAACAUCUCUAAGUAGAACCCGUCCUCAUUGUGAAGCAGCUGAAGGGUCUCAGAAAGCAGAACAUGAUGCCAAGUUCUACAGAGAUCCAAGAACAGAUGAAGUCGUUGACAUCCAUCAGUCUGGAGGUUCCAAAGCCACUGCUGAUGUUCUGGGAUUCCAGAGAACCUCAGUGAGAGACGUUAUCCAUGAAGUCCAGACUUUAAUAUUAUUGAUGCUGUGAUAAGACCUGAGAAGAUCAGCUGAUGAUCUAAAACCAUCUGAAGUGACUGAAUCUAAACUGUUCUACAGAGAAGAGCGGACCAAUGUUCCUCCAUGGAUGUAGAAGAUAAUCACAGCUGGAACAAACAUCUACCUGCUGCUGCCGAACCAGUCAUCAGGUUCAGGAGGUGAUUACUUUUACACAGAGGGAUAGAGGUUCUCAAUAAAUAAACCCUCAAAAACUACAUUUAAUGUUUUGUGGUUUAUCUCCGUCUAAUAAAUAAAUAUUAAUGUCUGAUGAUCUGGAACAUUUAAAUAUGAGAAACAUGUAAAAAAAAUAGAAGAUUUGUGUAAAUACUUGAUCACAGCUCUGUUCUUCAUUUGUGACAUUCGGGGUUUUAGUUGUGGAGUCGGUGAUGGACUGUUUGCACUGAUCAUUGUUUCUCUUUAACACAUGGAAGAAGGUUCAUUUAGAGCUGAAGGCUUUUUUCAGGAGACACUGACUUGGUCUUCAACAAUCUGGUUUCUAUUCAUUUUCUGUCUAACCAGCUGUGAUCAUCAGUAUUAUGGGAUGUAUCCUAGACAUCAUCAGUAUUAUGGGAUGUAUUCUAGUGUGAACUAUUUGGAGUCCUAGAAACAAUCAUUGUUUCCCUGGAUGUGUUUCUGUUUCUGAUAAUCCACCAGAGAAAACUUUAAAAAGGUGAUUGUGGAUAAACUUCAAUGUUGGUAGGAAGUUGAUCAGAAAUAUUAGAGACGAUGGAAGAAGAAGAAACCAGGAUCAUCUGGAGACAGCAAUUCUUUUGUUUCCUUCAUGUUCUUCUUGGUACACUGAGGCUGUAACAUGAUAUUAAGAUGGAAUAAUGAAUGUAGAAGAUGUUUGUAGGUGUUGGUGCAGAAAACAGAUCAACACAUAUUAAUGAACCUCCUGUUGACCAAACACUUCCUCAGUGAGAAGGUCAGACUUGUACAUCUGUGAGAGAUUUCAGAAACAUUUCAUUGUUCCAGCUGUGUGACACUGAUUCAGACUCUUCAACCCUGAAGCUCUUCACUUUGUCAUAUUUGCAGUACGUUUAUUUAUUUGUUAGAAUGUGUUCUUUUGCGGUCUUAGAUUGUUCCUCACCACCAGCUGAAAGAAUAGAACCAUUUUAUGCACCUUAGCAAUGGCACUGAUGACAGCUUCGUUCUCAUCACCAGGAACCUUUUUGCUUGAUUAUUGAUUCUUUAAAUCAUUAGUCCUUUAGUCAGUAGCUUAGAGGAUGACAGCUGUCAUUUUUAUUAAACUAUUUGGUGUUCUGUCACAAUAAUUCAAAUAAAUCAUGUAAAAUAA
Acanthochromis polyacanthus (spiny chromis) is the source of this 5349-nucleotide RNA transcript. It is a transcript of the gene named E3 ubiquitin-protein ligase RNF31, with no coding region annotated. Lineage: Eukaryota; Metazoa; Chordata; Actinopteri; Pomacentridae. The transcript is spliced from 23 exons. The record is from RefSeq and is a predicted model, not a curated record.